UUUUGACACCCACAAAAAUUUGGCACACUCCCUCCACACAAAAACCCAACUUCACAAACCGACGUGGCGGCGCAACCUAUGAUCGGCGUCGGGUCUUCCAUACAAACCACCGCAUCGCCACGCGCAGCCACCCCUUAAAUAUGGGGCAUGUCUCUCCUCACUUCAAAACACAUUUAACAACACCACUCUCUCUCUUCAUCUCCUCCAAAUGUCUCAUUAUAUAUAAUUUCCAACUCGAAAUUCCAACAAUGACCCUCAUCCCAGCGUGGUGCAAGAAUUUUCCGACGGCGAUCGCCGUUGUGACUACGUGCCGGUUGUGCCGCAUAGAAGGCGGUGGUGGUGGCGACGACGAUGAUGCGGAUUACGAUUAUGCUCCGGCUGCAUAAAUUUUUGAUAAAUUUAACCAGCAGAUCAACAACUUUCGCGCUGUAGCGUUGUACCUUCAGUUUAGAGAAUGCAUGCAGCCAUUUUGAUAUUUCAUUUGCAAAAAUAAGUUAUUUAUUCUAAUUAAAUCGUGUCAUUUUUAAUUUUAUUUUUGCAUUUCUAUUUGCUAACUCGUCAGAUACAUUGGUAUCGUAUUUUACUCAAUCUUACAAAUG
Molecule: long non-coding RNA, 599 nt
Filed under: Salvia miltiorrhiza (redroot sage)
Lineage: Eukaryota; Viridiplantae; Streptophyta; Magnoliopsida; Lamiales; Lamiaceae
Description: long non-coding RNA (SMIL_LNC008968)
Source: RNAcentral